CCAAAAGCAAAAUCGACAAGUUUUGCAACCACAAAUAACUGGCACUAACCACAACUUCCUACAGAGAUGAAGCAUAACAAAAAACAAAAAUAUAUUCACAUAAAAUCAACACCAGCAGCCACAUUUAGAAGUUUCUACUUCGACCUUUUUCCCUUCUUUUAAACCCAUCUUGUGUGUAUCCAUUAUAAUCACCUAUCCAAUAAUAAUCAAGAACACCACGAAGAUUGUAUUCACUAUGAGUAUCUAGGGUUUUGUGAUCGGAGAAAGUACGGCCGACAUAAUCAAUGGAUUGAAGGAGAUACAGUGAGAGCGAGAGAAAGAGAGAUGGAGGCAGAAGAUAGAGGGAGGAGAGAGAGAGAGAGAAAGACAAAUAAAAAUGGGCCAGAGAGGGGGAAGCGGGAAGGGGUGAGGCAAGAAGAAAGAACCGGUUCGCUUGUUUCUCUCUCUCUUGCUCCAGAAAGCAGGUCAUAGUCAUGGUCGUAUAUAUGCAAAUACUUUGUAGUUUUAAAAAAAGAAAGUAAAUAUGCAAUUUUUUGGAGAAGAUUGUAUUAUUGCAAUUAAAAUGUUAAAAAAAGGUAUAUUUGGUAAAUACCCUUAUAUUUAAUAUAAUAUAUUUAAUAUUAUUAUUUUAAAAAACACAA
This 641-nucleotide long non-coding RNA is filed under the name Daucus carota (carrot). Its description in RNAcentral is "long non-coding RNA (DCAR_LNC004779)". The record is from RNAcentral. Lineage: Eukaryota; Viridiplantae; Streptophyta; Magnoliopsida; Apiales; Apiaceae.